GACGUAGGGUGCGAGCGUUAAUCGGAAUUACUGGGCGUAAAGCGUGCGCAGGCGGUUUUGCAAGCCAGAGGUGAAAGCCCCGGGCUCAACCUGGGAAUGGCAUUUGGGACUGCAAGGCUUGAGUGCGGCAGAGGAGACUGGAAUUCCUGGUGUAGCAGUGAAAUGCGUAGAUAUCAGGAGGAAUACCGAUGGCGAAGGCAGGUCUCUGGGCUGACACUGACGCUCAUGCACGAAAGCGUGGGGAGCAAACAGG
RNAcentral lists this ribosomal RNA (253 nucleotides) under uncultured bacterium. RNAcentral describes it as "partial 16S ribosomal RNA". It matches the Rfam family "Bacterial small subunit ribosomal RNA", at positions 524 to 776 of the family's 1533-position model. The record is from RNAcentral.